Molecule: long non-coding RNA, 1080 nt
Organism: Aquila chrysaetos chrysaetos
Lineage: Eukaryota; Metazoa; Chordata; Aves; Accipitriformes; Accipitridae
Exons: 2
Source: RefSeq, a predicted model, not a curated record
AUAGUCCUGAUGUUUUAGUUGCAGAAGAAGGCUUCAUCUUUAAUUUAUGUUUUCCUAUUUAACAAACCGAUUUUUUAUUUCUGAUAGGAAAGGAAAUAAUGCUUAUUUUAAAGCUACAAUGCUGGGGGGCUUGGAAGCUUAAAAUUACACAUGGGUUUGGUUUGGAAAAGCAGAUGGGAUGAGAUGAGAUUUCUUCACUGAUUCGAUCCUAUACAGUAGUACUGUCACCCAUCGAAGAGAAGGAAGGUGGCAAACACUCCAUGGAGUCAUUUAUACAACAGCAGUGGCUUUUAUGGAAAGACUGUAAGUCAAACUGAUUCUUCUACAGAGGUGUUUUAGUACCCCUGUAGAUAAAAAUCUAAUCAAAAGUUGUUUAUAACAAGAAAGCUCUGUUUAUUUCCUGAGAAGGGAAUGAGAUCAAAUCUACAUGGUAAGAAAGGGUAGUUUCAGGGAAUGCCUCUGAAGACUUCAAAUCGUUAAGAUUUUUUUUUUGGAUGCUUCAACUACAUCUUUUUUUUAAAAGAAUGCCAUGUUAAAGAAGAGCAUUAUGUGACGUAUGUUGGUAUAGAUUGUCAUCACCUUUACUAUGCAUAAGUAAAUGAACGACCUUGCAAAUCAGAUAAAGGUGUGAAGAGAAGAACAAAGCAAAAAUGUGAAAGACAAUGUGCCGCAUUUUUCCUACUUGUAAAUAAGGUGGAAAAUUUCAACACAAUAGAAAAUCACCAAUGCUUUUGAUUUCUAAUGGAACGAGCACUGCAGGGAUUCAGCUCCUAGGUGACCAUCCAUGUGCCUGUAAAUAGUAAAAGUAUCCUUGUCCAGUAAUAUUUCUAUUGCUAAAAUCGUAUUUUUCUUAUUAGAAAUUGAUAGCAACAGGUUCGUUUCUUACAUGUCCCUUAAUUCUCCAGACCCACAAGUUUGAGGUGGCACAAGCACUGUAUUAAGUCUCACCUUUUCAGAAAUCAUCUUCAUAACUGUGCCAUGUAUUUGCUAUGGAGUUCUGCUAUAUGCCUCAUUUUCCCCUCUGUAAAACACAAAAAAUAAAUAAUGGUUUAAACGGUUUGCACGAACGUGGUAAUAAAA